GUUUAUUCACAAAAUAUUAACUUACAAUAACUUACAAAAUAUUAUCUCAUUUGAUCCUCUCAACAACCCUGUAAGGCUUGUGCCAUUAUCAUCCCCAUUUUGUUGUUGAGGAAACUGAGACACACAGAAGUUUCUUCAACAAACCAAGCCAAAAAUGAUAUCCAAUAGAAGGCACAGAUAACGUCUGUAGCUAUUGUGAAACAUUGUAACUGUGGGAAAAGUCCCAUCUUCCAAACAGCCUAACUAGAAGCCACUGGGAAAGGAAUGAGCUGUGCUGGAAAGAGAACGGUGCUGAUGAGAAUCACCAAAGUCCAUGGCAAGACAAAAGUCAAGAUGAUUGGUUCAGUGUUUGACCAAUCUCUAAGUGCUCUGCAGCAACUGCUUCAGCUACCUUCAUGAACACUGGAAUAAAUCGUUCUCAUCUGCCCAUUCCUCUAGCGAAAGUCUUCACAUGCCUGAGGUGUUUUGGCUGCUAAAUUUAGAGGCAGAAGCCAAUCAAAAGGAAUGAGAUUCAACCCUCUGUUCCAUUGGAGCUUAGUUGUUUAUGGAUCCAUUACAUCCCUGGCCAUCACUAGUCAUCCUGACUUUUGCCUUGCCAAUGGACUUGGAAGAGUCUGGAAAAGAGUGUGAGACCAAUGCCUUUGUGAAUUUUAAAACUACUCCACCCUACUCCAGCCAUACUUUAGAACAGUGGUUCUCAACCUUUCUAAUGCCAUGACCCCAUAAUACAGUUCCUCAUGUUGCAGUGACCCCAAACCAAAAAAUUAUUUUGGUGGCUACUUCAAAACUGUAAUUUUGCUACAGUUAUGAUUCGGAAUGUAAAUACCUGAUAUGCAUCAUGUAUUCUCAUUGCUACAAAUUGAGAGGUUGAGAACGGCUGCUUUAGAAAAUCUUAUUUAGCUAUUUCCAGAUUAGUACCAAUAGAGAUACUUGGUUUAAUAGAAUCAAAUCUUGAGAACUAUACAUUUUCCCCUACUUAGUUUAACAAGGUCAGGAUGCCUGCACCAUACUCAAAGAUUUAAUUAUCUGAGGAAAUGACCUUCAACAGAUGUGCAGAAAAAGCAGACAGACCCAUGGGCUGUCCUAAGUCAAGGUAAGCUAUCAUUGGUACAGAUGAGAUGCAGAAAAGUGAUGUAAAACCGUCUAUAUAAGGCACGCCACUUGCUCUCUCUCUCUCUUUUCCCCAGAAAGGCAACUCUGACUGGCAGGGUGCUAAGCAUUCUGACAUCUUGGCAUGGUGGCAGCUAUUGUCUGGGUUUGGUGGUGAGUUUGCCCUUGAGCUAAUUCAGGUUCAGGCAUCUUGGCUGAGCCCUUUGGAGUUCAGGCUGAUUCUUUCCUCCUUACUCUUCAAAAACAUUAUCUUCCUAGAGCCUCUGGUCUUCCUCCUGGCACUAGCCAGGCGGGAGAAAUUAUACAGCCUUUUUCUUCUUCCUUCUUCUUAAUUUCUUUCCACUAUAUCAAUUUAAUCACCAUAAAUUUCCAGCUGACUUGGUUAUAUUUCUUUUAUAUUUGGGAUAUCCAUGGAGACCAAAUAAUUAACAUAGUUUAGGUCACAAAACUAAAUUAUCCUUUACAGUAAUUCUGCCUUACUUAAAUCUAAUUCAUGUACAAGUUAAGAUAUGACCCUUGAUAUCACUGGUCCUCUUUGAAAACAAAGAACAAACAAUAAUAACUGGCAUUCACUUUGUUUCCUCAAUUAAACUGUGAAUGCCUUGAGAGCAAGGAUUGAUUUUUGCCUUUGUAUUCCCAGGAUUUAGCACAGUGCCUGGCACAUAGGAGGUAUUUAACAAAUAUUUAAUGACUGACUUACUAACUGAAAAAUUGCUACUAAUCUGAACCACUGAUCAUUUUUACCACAGCACAAUAGAGGCAAUGAUGACUACAUGAAGUGAGCAGGACUAGGAACCACUUAAUAUCUUCUAUUUAUAGUCACCAUAUAGUCUUCAUUUGAGUUUCACAUAUAGAACUUUAGUUCAUGGACAAUGUUCUAUAAAUGACAGCAAUAAAAGUACUUAGAGCCUUCAUUAAAUGUAUCUUUUAAAAUGUAUGAAUAACUAGUAUCAAGAGAGCAAGAAGAAAAUCCCUAUUUAAACACUACAGCAACAUGAGCUGAUAUGUGACUCAUAGGGAAAUAAAUAACAUUGCCUAUAGUUUAUUAGUUUCUAGCUCCCCAAAGUCCACUUGUUCAAAUCUCUGUUAUUUAUAAAACUUCAUGCUUCAAAACAAUGAAUUGCCAACAUAUUUCAAAACCACAAAAUGUCAUGACUCCUCCAUAAGUUUCUUUUUUUAAAAAAAAUAGGGAUACCGAAGAAUACUCAAAUCAUUGAACUUAUUGAUUUAGCAGAAAUACAUACGUAGGAUGAACAUUUUAAUAUAUUUUCAUCUUUUAUAUUGAUAUUGUUUAAUAGCAGAACUAUGAUUCAUGUAUUAUACAAACUGUUAGCCAUGACUCUGUUGAGAUGGUCUGUGAAAGAAAAGAGAAUUAAACUUGGCAGUACCAGAAAUCAGAACCAAGACCACAGAAAAGAAGUUGCAAAGAGGAAAAUUUAAGCUCACAUUAAAACACUUUCUAGCAAUUAGGUCCAUCCCAAGGUUGAAUGGACGUAAAUGGAAAGGAUUCUAGAAAGUCAAAGAUUACCCCCAAUAUUAAGAAAUUAAUAGGGAAGCCAUUCACAAUCCUGAAAGUUGUUUCUUCAAACUUAAAUGAUAUUCAAAUGAAUACACGGAGUUGCAUGCUGAUAGCUAAGAUGGCAGAGUAAAGGAUGCUCUGCUCCCUCAAUCCCUCCAUGCACCCAAAAAAGGCACCCAAAUAGAAGCAGGGUACCUGAGAUGGUGGAUCCCAGAGUUGAGAGCAUGCCAGAUAAGAUAUGGAGAAAGGGAGAGGGGAACCAACUAUAAAAAUAAGCAAAAGAUUUUUACAAAAAAACAUAACUUUAGAAAGUUGCUUUAGUGACAGGAAAGUUCAAAGUAUAAACUCACACGAGGAUAACAAUGCCAAAAAUGAAACAUGUGGAGCCUCAAAGGAAAGUAAAAGACAUCAAACCUUACAGGAAUCCCUAGGAGAGCUUCAAGAAGAAAAUAAUAAAUAAAUUAAAAGCAAAUAAUAAGAAAAUUGAAAGAAAAACUGAAGAACUGGGGAGGGGGCAAUAUUCACUGAAGAAAAGAACUCCCUAGACCAAAUGAAAAUGGAGGCAAAAACCACUGGGAAAAAACUCUUUAAACAUUAGGAUUAGUCAAAUGGAAAAGGUAACAUGAAAACUCAAGGAAGAAAAUAAAUAAAAAUUAGAACUGGGCAAAUAGAAUCUAAUGAAAACAUAAGACAUAAGGAAAUAUUUUUUUUUUAAUUUUAACUGAAAGAAUUGAAGAAAAUCUAAACUGCUUCACUGGCAAAAUGAAUAGCCUAGAAAAUAGAUCAAGAGAUCAUCUAAAAAUCAUCACAACAUCUGAAAGCCAUGAUCAGAAAAAGAGCCUGGAUACCAUAUUACAGAAAAUCAAAAGGGAAAAUUGCCCUGAUAUCAUUGAGCAAGAGGGAAAAAGAGAAAUAGAGAGAAUCCACCAAUCACCUCCAGAAAGAGAACCCAAAAUAUCAAUAACCCAGGACUACUGUAGUCAAAUUCCAGAACUCCCAGGCCAAGGAAAAAAGACUACAAUCUGAAAGAAGUAAAUGAUUCAAAUGUCAAAGAAACACAGUCAAGAUUAUGCAGGGUCUGGCCACUUCUAUAUUAAAGGGCCAGAAGGCAUGGAAUAUGAUAUUCCAAAAGGCAAAGAAUCUAGGACUACAACCUCAAAUUAUAUAUCAAACAAAAUUAAGCAUAAUUAUCCAAAGGAAAAAUUGAAACUUAAUGAAAUAAAGGAAAUAAAUAGGAAAACCUUACAAGUGGGGAAUCUCAACCUUCCCUCCUCAGAAGCAGAUAAAUCUAACAAAAAAAAUAAAUAAACCACAUAGAAGUUAAGGAAAUAAACAGAAUUUUUAAAAGUUGGAUAUGAUAGAUAUCUGGAGAGAACUGAAUGGGAAAAAAAAGAAAUAUCAUUUUUCUCAGCAGUACAUUGCACCUUCACAAAAACUGACUACAUAAUUGGGCAUAAAUAUCUCACAUUCAAAUGUAGAAAAGCAGAAAUUUUAAAUGCACACAUUUUAGACCAUAAUGCAAUAAAAAUUGCACUCAAUAAUGAGCAGCAGAUAUAUAGGCUAAACAUUAAUUGGAAGUUCAACAUUCUUUUCCUAAAGAACAAAUGGGCCAAAGAACAAAUCAUAGAAAUGAUCAAUAAUUUUAUUAAAGAAAAUGAUAAUAAGAAGACAACAUAUAAAUAUUUAUGGGAUACAGCCAAAGCAGUACUUAAAGGAAAAUCAGAUCUCUUAAUGCUUACAUUAAUAAAAUAAAUAAAAAGUAAAUCAAUGAAUGGGACAUGCAACUAAAAAAACUAGAAAAAGAACAAUCUAAAAAUCCCCAAUUAAGCAUCAAAUUAGAAACCUGAAAAUUAAGGGAUAGAUUAAACAAAAUUGAAAGUAAGGAAUACAUUAAACUAAUUAAUAAGAAAUAAAUAAAACAAAUAAACAUCUGAUUAAUUGAAUUUUAAAAAGAAAGAACACCAAAUUUCCAGCAUCAAAAAUGAAAAAAAAAAGAUGAAAUCACAAUCAAUGAAAAAGAAACUAAAGCAAUUAUUGGAAGUUAUUUUGCCCAACUAUAUGCCAAUAAAUCUGACAAUAUAAGUGAAUUAGAUAAAUACUUAUCAAUAAAUAGAUAAACUACUUGGACUAACAAAAGAGGAAAAACAGUACUUAAGCAACCUCAUCACAGAAAAAGAAAUUGAACAAAUCAUCAAAAAAUUUCCUAAGAAAAAGGUCCCAAUGCCAGAUGAAUUCAUAAAUGAAUUUUACUAAUCAAAGGACAACUAACUACAAUACUACAUAAACUACUUAGAAAAAAAUAGGGGAAAAUCUUUUUUUAUGAAACAAAUAUGGUAUCAACAUCUAAAUCAGGAAGAGAGAAAACAGAGAAAGAAAACUAUGUGCCAAUCUCCAUAAUGAACAUUGAUGCAAUAAUUUUAAAUAAAAUAUUAAGAUUACAACAUUUUAUCACAAGAAGAAUAUACUAUGAUCAGAUGGGUUUUAUAUCAGGAAUGCAGGAAUAGUUCAAUAUUAAGAAACCAUCAGCAUACUUGACCAUUUCAGUAACAAAACCAACAGAAAUCAUAUGAUUAUUCCAAUAUAUGCAGAAAAGUCAAUUGACAAAAUAUAAUACCCAUUCCUUAUUAAAACAUUAGAAAACAUUAGGAUGAAGGGAAAAUCCUGAAAAGGAUAAAUGGUAUCUAUCCAAAACCACCAACAAGUGUUAUUUAUAAUGGGAAUAAACUAAGAUUCUUCCCAAUAAGAACAGGGUUAAAGCAAGGGUGCCCAUUACCACCACUAUUAUUUUAUACCAUACUAAAAAUGCUCAUUAUAGCAAUAAGAAUAGAAAAAAAAUUAAGGAAUUAAAAUAGGAAAUGAAAAUUUAAUGUUAUCACUCUUCUCAGACUAUAAUGGUAUACCCAGAGAACCAUAGGGCAUCAAUCAAAAAACUUUAACAACUUCAGAAAAGUUGCAGGGUACAAAAUAAAUCCAAAUAAGUCAUUAGCAUUUCUAUUUACCACCAACAAAAUCCAACAGUAAGAAUAAAAAGGGAAAUUCCAUUUAAAAUAACUCUAAACAAUAUAAAAUACCUGCAGGUACACCUAUGAAAACAAACUUACCAACUACAUGAACCUAAUUACAAACCAUUCUUCACACAAAUAAAUUUAGACCCAAACAAUUAGAAAAACAUUAAUUGUUAAUGAAUUGGUGAAGCCAGUAUAGUGAAAAUGACAAUUCUACCUAAAUUAGUUUAUCUAUUCAGUACUAUACCAAUCAAAUUACCCAAAAAUUAUUUAACAGAACUAGAAAAAAUUAACAACAGAGUUCAUCUGAAAGAACAAAAGGCCAAGAAUAUCAAGGGAAUUAAUGAGAAAAAAAUAAUAAAAGAAGGAGGCAUGACUAUACCAGAUAUUAAAUUAUACUAAAAAACAGAAAUCAUCAAACAAGCUGGUCCUGACUAAGAAAUAGUGAGGUGUAUCAGUGCAAUAAAUUAUAUAAUCAAUACAUGGCAGUUAAUGUCCAUAACAACUUAAUGUUUGAUGAACCCAAAGAUCCAAACUUUUGGGGAAAGAACUCACUAUUUGACAAAAACUGCUGGGAAAACUAGAAAGCAAUAUGGCAAAAAUUAGGCAUGGUCCACAGCUCACACCAUAUACCAAGUUAAAUUCAAAAUGGAUACUUGAUCUAGAAAUAAAGAGUAACACUAAACAAAUUAGAGGAACAUGGAAAAGUUUACCUAUGAGAACUAUGGAUAAGGGAAGAUUUUGUGAACAAACAAGACAUGGAGAACAUUAAGAAAAAUGAAAUAGAUAAUUUUUAUAUUAAAUUUAAAAGAUUAAAUGAAAUCAAUGAAACCAAUGUUAGAAGGCAAACAAUAAAUUCUGAAGUGGCAUUUUAUAGCAAAUAUUUCUGACAAAAGCCUCAUUUCUAAAAUAUGUAUAGGACUGAGUCAAAUUUAAAAUAAUGUCAAAACAUUCCCCAGUUGACAAAUGGUCAAGGGUUAUGAGCAGGUACUUCUCAGGAGAAGAAAUUAAAACUAUCCAUAGUCACAUAAAAAAUACUCCUAAUCACUAUUGAUUGGAAAAACACAAAUUAAGACAACUCUGAGACAAUACCUCACACCUACAAGAUCAACUAACAUAGCCAAAAAGGAAAAUGAUAAAUGCUGGAGAAAACAUGGGAAAAUUGAGACACUAAUAUACUAUUGCCGAAACUAAUUUAUACAACCAUUCUGGAGAGCAAUGUGGAACCAAUCUCAAAGGUCCACAAAAUUUUGCAUACCAUCUGACCCACUAAUACUACUACUAUGUCCACAUCCAAAGAGAUUAAAAAUAAGGGGAAAGAACCUAGAUAUACCGAAAUAUUUUUUAGCAGCUCUUUUAGUGGUGGCAAAGGAUUGAAAACUGAACUGUCCAUCACUUAGGGACUGGAUAAACAAGUUGUUGAUAUGUUGUAAUGGAAUAUUUUUGCACCAUAAAGAAUGAUGAACAGAAGGAGUUCAGAAAAACUUGGAAAGACUUAUCUGAACUAUUGCAAACUGAAGUGAGCAGAACCAAGAGAACAAUGUAUACAGUAACAUAAAUAUUAUACAAGGAUUAAAUGUGAAGAACUAAAUCAUUAUCACUGAGUCUCCAAGAUAACCACAAGGUAAUCAUAAAGGAAAUGUUAUCCACAGCCAAAGAAAGAACUAUUGGAAAAUGAAUGCACAUCAAUGCAUGUCAUUUUCCAUUAUAUAUCCUUCAUGAGAUUUCUGUAGUAUGUGUGACAUGUGUCUUUGAUAAUGAAAUUAGUGAUAUGGAAAUAUGUAUUACAUGAAAGUAUGAGUAUAACCUAUAUCAGACUAUUCAUUGUAUCAAAUAGAAAGAGGGAAGGGAAGGCAGGAGAAAAUCUGAAUUUUAAAAUGUCAAAAAACAAUUGUCAAAAAUUGCUUCUACAUGUAACUGAAAAAAUAAACACAAAAUAAUUUAAAUGAUACUAGCAAACAAUACAGGUGUGUAUAUGGGUGUGUAAGUGUGGAUGUGUGGGUGUAUAUAUAUUUUUUUUUUAAUCUGUUUGAGAUCAUAUCAAUGAAUUUCAGAAUCUCAAUCUCUUCUUGCUGCAGAGUUUGGUUGAUUACAUGUCCUGAAUAUUGUAGAGAAGAUUGUAGUCCAAAUGCAGGUUGGACUAGAUGUGUUUAAAGUCCCUUCUAACCUUCAAGUUGUUAUAUUUUUACAUACUUUUGGAACAGAGUCCAAAAAAUAUUGUUGAAAAAACUUAGCUUAUUUAAUAAAAAUGCAGUGGACAGGCAAACUAUAGAACAUUAUUGUUAUUGUUCAGCCACUUCAGUCAUGUCCAAUUUUUCAUAAACACAUUUUUGAGGUUUUCUUGACCAAGAUAUUGGAGUGGUCUGCCAUUUCCAUCUCCAGUCAAUUUUACAGAGGAGGAAAUCAGGGCAAACAAGAUAAAGUGGCUUGUCCAGCAUCAAACAGAUAAAAAGUGUCUGAGGCCACAUUUGAACUCAGAAAAAUGAUUCUUCUAAAUUCCAUAGCUUAGAGCAGUAGGUAGGUGGUGCAGUGGAUAGAGCCCUUAGCUAUAGAAUAUAGCUUAAGAAAGAUGCAUUGGCCUCACCAAUGGCAAGAACUAAAGUCAUGCAACAAAUUAAACACAUGGUCAAUACGCUGGGGAAAAGAAAUACUUGUGGCAA
Non-coding RNA from Monodelphis domestica (gray short-tailed opossum), 8294 nucleotides. NCBI's taxonomy places the organism in Eukaryota, Metazoa, Chordata, Mammalia, Didelphimorphia, Didelphidae. The record is from RefSeq and is a predicted model, not a curated record.